RNAcentral lists this long non-coding RNA (607 nucleotides) under Fukomys damarensis (Damara mole-rat). RNAcentral's name for it is "lncRNA (ENSFDAG00000022036.1)". The record is from RNAcentral. Lineage: Eukaryota; Metazoa; Chordata; Mammalia; Rodentia; Bathyergidae.
UGGUGGGAGAAGAGGCAUCAUUGGAAGAAGGCUGUCCUUUAGUAGGUGGGAGAAGCCAUCUUUUUAGGUUAGAAGCAGGGCAUUAUGGGAGAGUAAAGGCCAUUUUAAGGUACUUCAUACAGGUGGUCUUAUUACCAUCCUCACGCUUCCUACCUAUGACAAACAUCACUCAUUCCGCCGAAAAUAUGCUCUCCUCUCAGUCUCAUGUGCCCCUUGUCCACCUCAGAGUCCAGGAUCUCCGGAUCACGGCUGAUCCUCCUCUAGUCCAUCCUGAUCCUAUCCUGAUGUUCUGUAACCUAUGGGGAAAUUUAUACAGUAGUUCCUGAUGAAGAAGUAGGCACAGGCAUAAAUACAUCAACAAUAACAUGGUAUCUUCGAGCAAGGAUCCAAGCAUCAUCUCAAAUACUCCACAUGUGGCUUCUCAUUGAAUUUUCCCAACAACCCCAUGAAGUAUUAUUCUCCAAGGUACAGAGAAAGUUUCACAUUGCUGGUGUAAUGCCCGGGUCUGGAGCAGACUGACUCAUUGAUGCCGUCCAAGGUGUGGCUUACAGUGAUUUUGUUCAAAUGGAUUCUUGGCAAAGAAGGACGUGAAUAAAUAACAUCAAGG